This 497-nucleotide ribosomal RNA is filed under the name uncultured bacterium. RNAcentral's name for it is "partial 16S ribosomal RNA". It matches the Rfam family "Bacterial small subunit ribosomal RNA", at positions 28 to 507 of the family's 1533-position model. The record is from RNAcentral.
GACGAACGCUGGCGGCGUGCCUAAUACAUGCAAGUAGAACGCUGAAGAGAGGAGCUUGCUCUUCUUGGAUGAGUUGCGAACGGGUGAGUAACGCGUAGGUAACCUGCCUUGUAGCGGGGGAUAACUAUUGGAAACGAUAGCUAAUACCGCAUAACAAUGGAUGAACCAUGUCAUUUAUUUGAAAGGGGCAAAUGCUCCACUACAAGAUGGACCUGCGUUGUAUUAGCUAGUAGGUGAGGUAACGGCUCACCUAGGCGACGAUACAUAGCCGACCUGAGAGGGUGAUCGGCCACACUGGGACUGAGACACGGCCCAGACUCCUACGGGAGGCAGCAGUAGGGAAUCUUCGGCAAUGGGGGCAACCCUGACCGAGCAACGCCGCGUGAGUGAAGAAGGUUUUCGGAUCGUAAAGCUCUGUUGUAAGUCAAGAACGAGUGUGAGAGUGGAAAGUUCACACUGUGACGGUAGCUUACCAGAAAGGGACGGCUAACUACGUG